This is a long non-coding RNA of Aegilops tauschii subsp. strangulata, 911 nucleotides long. RefSeq lists it as uncharacterized. The record is from RefSeq and is a predicted model, not a curated record. Lineage: Eukaryota; Viridiplantae; Streptophyta; Magnoliopsida; Poales; Poaceae.
UCUACUUUCCCAAAAUGCCCUCCCACCGCUCCACUCGCUCCCUGUCUCGCUCCACUUGCACCACUCCUCUCGUCUGCCUCUCCUCACGCCCGCCACUCCCAGAUCCCCUCCUCUCGCCCGCCUCUCCUCUCCUCCCAUCGCCGGUCUCUCCUUUCCUCCCAACAACGCCGGACUCUCCUUCUCCUUGUCGUCGCCAGCUUCCUCCCACGGUGUGACCCCGUUUUCUCCCACGGCGAGCGCCAGAAAUCCAACACGCCGAGGUCAAAAGACUACCUUUUUAGCGCCGGCGGCGAGCUUCUGGGCGGCGGAGGCGCUGGGUCCGCGUGCGCUAGCGCUGGAUCCGCGCGCGUCGAUGAUGGAUCCGCGUGCCCCGACGCCAGUGACGAAGUCACGCUGGAUGUGGAGCAGCGUCGCGGCGGCGGAGCAGUGGCGGAGCAACGGAGCGGUGGAGCGGCGGGGCGACAGUGGAGCGCCUACUCAUGAGCUGAACCUCAAGACAAUUGGAUUUAUCGCCGGGCUAGUGCUAUGCUUGAAGUCACUGGUCAUCGCUUCAUGGAGUCAUGGGCGACGGGGCCCUCUAGAGUUCACGCAGAGUUAUCUCAGAUGUCUGUUGUUUUGACAGGGAUAUUCAGUGUUUAUUCAGCCACACUCGGUGUCUUGUGUUUGAUCUCUUUGCAAUGCAGUAACGGCACGACACCCUGAAUCACCCACAUCCUGGGAGGACACCUGACACAAGGUAGUUAGAAUUCCUUGUUCUGUUUAAAAUAAGGCAUGUGGUCGGGGUAUGUUGCUUAGAGUAAUUUUGAACAAGAUUUAACUUGUCAUUUUUGCUUGAAGUAAUUUUGCUUGGAGUAUUUUUCAGCAGGUAUUAUGAACAUGCAAGUAUUCUGAACAUGAAACUGUUCCUUUAA